GCCGGGCGUGGUGGCUCACGCCUGUAAUCCUAGCACUUUGGGAGGCCAAGGUGGGUGGAUCACCUGAGGUCAGGGGUUCAAGACCAGCCUGGCCAUCAUGGUGAAACCCCAUCUUUA
Callithrix jacchus (white-tufted-ear marmoset) is the source of this 117-nucleotide unclassified non-coding RNA. It matches the Rfam family "Metazoan signal recognition particle RNA". Rfam says of the family: The signal recognition particle (SRP) is a universally conserved ribonucleoprotein. It is involved in the co-translational targeting of proteins to membranes. Lineage: Eukaryota; Metazoa; Chordata; Mammalia; Primates; Cebidae. The record is from Ensembl.